CGCACCUUGCGCCCUCUGGUAUUCCGGAGGGCAUGUCUGUCUGAGUGUCAUGUAACUCUCAACCUCUCUUCCCUUGUGGUCGAGCUGGUUGGAUCGUGGGGGUUUUGCGGGCCUUGUAUCGCUCCCCUGAAAUCUAUCUGCAAAGUCGCCUCUUGUGAGUUGGCCUGACUGGGUGUGAUGGUAACGUUUUCGCCCGGGAUCCCGCCUUGUGCGAGGAGCCGCUCCUGUUGUAGGUUUUGGUUUGCAUAUAACUACAUAUCUUUGGUUUAGACCUCAGAUCAGGCAGGACUACCCGCUGAACUUAA
This 305-nucleotide unclassified non-coding RNA is filed under the name fungal sp. RNAcentral's name for it is "partial contains 5.8S ribosomal RNA, internal transcribed spacer 2, and large subunit ribosomal RNA". Lineage: Eukaryota; Fungi. The record is from RNAcentral.